GACGUAGGAGGCGAGCGUUGUCCGGAUUCAUUGGGCGUAAAGGGCGCGUAGGCGGCCCGCUAAGUCGAACGUGAAAUCCCCAGGCUCAACCUGGGAACUGCGUCCGAUACUGGCAGGCUUGAAUCCGGGAGAGGGAUGUGGAAUUCCAGGUGUAGCGGUGAAAUGCGUAGAUAUCUGGAGGAACACCGGUGGCGAAGGCGGCAUCCUGGACCGGUAUUGACGCUGAGGCGCGAAAGCUAGGGGAGCAAACGGG
This 253-nucleotide ribosomal RNA is filed under the name uncultured bacterium. RNAcentral's name for it is "partial 16S ribosomal RNA". It matches the Rfam family "Bacterial small subunit ribosomal RNA", at positions 524 to 776 of the family's 1533-position model. The record is from RNAcentral.